RNAcentral lists this transfer RNA (77 nucleotides) under Acholeplasmataceae bacterium. RNAcentral's name for it is "tRNA-Pro". It matches the Rfam family "tRNA". From Rfam's summary of the family: Transfer RNA (tRNA) molecules are approximately 80 nucleotides in length. Lineage: Bacteria; Bacillati; Mycoplasmatota; Mollicutes; Acholeplasmatales; Acholeplasmataceae. The record is from RNAcentral.
CGGAAUGUGGCGUAGCUUGGUAGCGCGCCUGGAUGGGGUCCAGGAGGUCGCAGGUUCAAAUCCUGUCAUUCCGACCA